Molecule: ribosomal RNA, 439 nt
Filed under: uncultured bacterium
Lineage: Bacteria
Description: bacterial SSU rRNA
Rfam family: Bacterial small subunit ribosomal RNA
Source: RNAcentral
AAUAUUGCACAAUGGGCGCAAGCCUGAUGCAGCCAUGCCGCGUGUGUGAAGAAGGCCUUCGGGUUGUAAAGCACUUUCAGUCGUGAGGAAGGUAGUGUAGUUAAUAGCUGCAUUAUUGACGUUAGCGACAGAAGAAGCACCGGCUAACUCCGUGCCAGCAGCCGCGGUAAUACGGAGGGUGCGAGCGUUAAUCGGAAUUACUGGGCGUAAAGCGCAUGCAGGUGGUUUGUUAAGUCAGAUGUGAAAGCCCGGGGCUCAACCUCGGAAUAGCAUUUGAAACUGGCAGACUAGAGUACUGUAGAGGGGGUAGAAUUUCAGGUGUAGCGGUGAAAUGCGUAGAGAUCUGAAGGAAUACCGGUGGCGAAGGCGGCCCCCUGGACAGAUACUGACACUCAGAUGCGAAAGCGUGGGGAGCAAACAGGAUUAGAUACCCUGGUAG